Molecule: ribosomal RNA, 253 nt
Filed under: uncultured bacterium
Lineage: Bacteria
Description: partial 16S ribosomal RNA
Rfam family: Bacterial small subunit ribosomal RNA
Source: RNAcentral
UACAGAGGUCUCAAGCGUUGUUCGGAUUCAUUGGGCGUAAAGGGUGCGUAGGUGGCGCCGUAAGUCAGGUGUGAAAUCUCGGGGCUCAACCCCGAAACUGCACUUGAUACUGCGGUGCUCGAGUACUGGAGAGGAGAUUGGAAUUUACGGUGUAGCAGUGAAAUGCGUAGAUAUCGUAAGGAAGGCCAGUGGCGAAGGCGAAUCUCUGGACAGUUACUGACACUGAGGCACGAAGGCCAGGGGAGCAAACAGG